CGCUCUGCUCAGAGCGGCCCAUACAAACGCGUUCAGGGCGGCCCAAACCUAACAAAAGCCCAUAUAAAAGUUAAACUAAAAAAAAAAAAAAAUCUCACAUUCUCUCUCACACACGUUCUCUCUCUGCCUAUCUGGUUUCAUCUCUCUGCCUCAUUCAUCUCUGCUGCUACUUCUUUCAUCUCUCAAAUUUUAGUUUGUAAUCUUCUAAGUUUUUUGUAAUCUUAUUCUAAUCUUCC
This 236-nucleotide long non-coding RNA is filed under the name Aquilegia coerulea. RNAcentral's name for it is "long non-coding RNA (ACOE_LNC000900)". Lineage: Eukaryota; Viridiplantae; Streptophyta; Magnoliopsida; Ranunculales; Ranunculaceae. The record is from RNAcentral.